AAUCAAAGCCAGUAUUUAUUUACAGUUCACAGAUUACAGGCUAGUUCCCAGCUUGGGGAAAAUCGUCUAAUAUAUUACAAAAGCUGUAGACUCUACGUGGCCUACUCAGCCACCAACUCCACUCAACAUAUAUCUAUGAGACCUACGUACUAGCCAAGUGCACCACUACUCUUUUUCUCACUAACUCCACUCAAAUAUUUAUUUGUUUGGCACCAAAUAAGUGGGCUGUCACCUUUUCCACCGAAAGCCAUGCAUUUCACUUAUUAAAGCACCACCAACUCUCCUCCACUUACUCUCAACUCCAGCAGGGAGCACAACAUUCUCUAUCAUUUUCCUGUCACCAAGAGGUCUCUCCAAAGAGCAGAGAAGCCCCCACUUCGUUCAGCCAAGUUCUCAAGUUCAGUUCCAACCCAUUUAAUACCUUAAGAAAUCGAAGAAGCAAGAGGGAGUAUUCAUUCACUGCUGUGCCAAACUUUAAGUUCAGCCCAAAUCAUUCCAGUUCGUUAAGCUCAACGACAAACAGCCAACCAACAUUCGUUCUCAAGGUAUAAUUCUAUUUCAGAUACCCAUUCCAGAAAGCAUUCAUAUCAAAGCAUGAUCAUGAGUAGUUUCACAAGGAGAUACGACGUAUAAGCAUUUUGAACUUAGUAAACACCCCAACUAUGCUUUCAUGAACAAGUGACAGUUUAUAUGAAAUUUUAAACGAGCAAAAUUUGAGAUGUAAGCAAAA
Molecule: long non-coding RNA, 730 nt
Organism: Salvia miltiorrhiza (redroot sage)
Lineage: Eukaryota; Viridiplantae; Streptophyta; Magnoliopsida; Lamiales; Lamiaceae
Exons: 2
Source: RefSeq, a predicted model, not a curated record